RNAcentral lists this ribosomal RNA (453 nucleotides) under uncultured bacterium. RNAcentral describes it as "bacterial SSU rRNA". It matches the Rfam family "Bacterial small subunit ribosomal RNA", at positions 340 to 786 of the family's 1533-position model. The record is from RNAcentral.
UACGGAAGGCAGCAGUGGGGAAUAUUGCACAAUGGGCGCAAGCCUGAUGCAGCCAUGCCGCGUGUAUGAAGAAGGCCUUCGGGUUGUAAAGUACUUUCAGUCGUGAGGAAGGUGUUAAGGUUAAUAACCUUAGCAAUUGACGUUAGCGACAGAAGAAGCACCGGCUAACUCCGUGCCAGCAGCCGCGGUAAUACGGAGGGUGCGAGCGUUAAUCGGAAUUACUGGGCGUAAAGGGCACGCAGGCGGUUAAUUAAGUUGGAUGUGAAAUCCCCGGGCUUAACCUGGGAAUGGCAUUCAAGACUGGUUAGCUAGAGUCUUGUAGAGGGGGUAGAAUUCCGAUGUGUAGCGGUGAAAUGCGUAGAGAUGUGGAGGAAUACCGGUGGCGAAGGCGGCCCCUGGCAAAGACUGACGCUCAUGUGCGAAAGCGUGGGGAGCAAACAGGGAUUAGAUACC